GGGAAGGGAGGAAGAGAAUGGAGGAGGAAGGGAAGGAUUUGCGACAGGUGUUAGGCAUCCUGUGUUAUCCAGGUGUUCCGUUCUCCCAGGUUAAAGGGGAGGACUUCAGCAAGGCUAGGGAACCGAGGCUUGCAGAGAGGGGUUAUGGGAUAUUCCGAGGUAGUCCUCGUUCGUGCCAGCCUAGAACCCUGAACUUUAAUUCUCUUUAGAGUUGAGGAAUGGGAGGAAUUCUAGAAUGUUCUGGCUCUGGCCUCGCCAGUGCUGGGCAGCUCGCACCCUACAUGCUGACAUCAGAUGGCGUCCACAGCAAUGCCUUCCUCCCGCAGACUACACUGACUCUUUGCUGCCGGCUCCUGAGUACGGAGAAGACGGGUCCUGUUACUCCUCCCAGGCGGAGAACUCUGAUUUUCUCGCUAAGUCUUCCUUUGCUUUUCCAUUUUCAUUUCAUGCACAGUGACAAACGAGCUGUAAAGUCUCGUGAAGCCCCCAGACUAUCCUUGAAUUUGAUAGGUAGCUGACCAACUGGCCUUGAGUUCCUGACAUUGCCUCCACGCUCCGCUUCGGGAUUACAGAGAGGGUCUUGCAUUAAAGACCAGGCUCACCUAAACUUUCCGACCUCUUGCCUCUGUUCACUGAGUGCUGGAAUUAUAGGCAUAAUCGCCACCCCUAAUUAGAGAGGACCUUGAAGGCUCCAGCCCCUCCCCCAAGAAGACUGACUUAACCACCUAAGGGAACAGUUAGGACCGGCCUGUGUUCUGAACUGGAGAAGACCGGAAGCUGUCCCAGGCUCCAGGUGCGGAGGCCCAAAGGCAUGCAGCUGAAGUGAACCUUCCGGGGUCAGAAUGGAAGGGUCCGGAGAGGAUGUGGGGACUGGUGAACAGGCAGGCAGGGUGCGCGCGACUGUAGAGGCCGUGUAGUGCCAAGUUAAAGACCUAGGAUUUGCCCAGAAGACUCCAGAGACACCCCCACCCCCGUAAAGUCUCUGAGCCAUAGCAGGAUAUGAUGCUAUGACGCAAGGUAGGGGGUGAGGGGAGAAGAUGGGCCAGGAGGCAAAUCGUGUUGCCUUCCCUCUCCAACCCUCCCGACUUCUAUUUUAACUGGUGACACAUCAGCACGGAUGUCACCUCCCCCGGUGCCCUCUGACACACUAGCCAGUUUUAUUUUCGUGGCUCUUAACACCCUCAGCAACGAUCAUUUAUACACAUGCUUACUUCCUUUGCUCCCGUGUCCCACGGAACAUAAACAAAAUAGGGUAGGUGGGGGAUCAUUAUCUUGUUUUGUUCGCUGUUGCUUCUCCGGCACCUGUGACAAGCUAAUGGCAGAUGCUGUGAGUGUAUUUGUGGAAUGAAUACAUAGAUUGAUAACUGGAAUGAUGGCAUCACUAUUUCUGUCCCAGGGCCCCAGGCCCCAUGGUGAUGCUUGACUCAUGCUCCUCUGUGGGAUCUGGCAAUCUCUUCGCUUGGAUGUGUGGUUUCUCUUUCCCUCCCAGCCCCUGCACACGCAGCCUCUACCCUCCCCAACAACUGUAAGUGCUUUGGGCAUGGUCUUCCCAUGGGGUCUUGGAGCCUUGGUCAUGACAAUUCCCUCUGAUCCAUUCUCUAUGAUGAAUGAAUGCUGGUGAACAGGACUGACUACAGGGGUGAGGCUGGGGAUUGGAGGUCGGCAGGGCAGCUGAGGAUGAUGUGGGUCUUCAUUGACUGCAAAAGACAGAAAAAACGGGGACAAGUGGAUGCUGAUGAGGGAACCAACUGAGGCAGUGUGCCUGUUCUAAUGGGAGCUCACCAAAUCCAGCUGGACCAGGUCGGAAUGAGCAUGUGAUCAAACCGGACUCUGAUUGUGG
Molecule: long non-coding RNA, 1840 nt
Organism: Myodes glareolus (Bank vole)
Lineage: Eukaryota; Metazoa; Chordata; Mammalia; Rodentia; Cricetidae
Source: RefSeq, a predicted model, not a curated record